RNAcentral lists this ribosomal RNA (415 nucleotides) under uncultured bacterium. RNAcentral describes it as "bacterial SSU rRNA". It matches the Rfam family "Bacterial small subunit ribosomal RNA", at positions 18 to 434 of the family's 1533-position model. The record is from RNAcentral.
CCUGGCUCAGAUUGAACGCUGGCGGCAUGCUUUACACAUGCAAGUCGAACGGCAGCGGGGGCUUCGGCCUGCCGGCGAGUGGCGAACGGGUGAGUAAUGCAUCGGAACGUGCCCAUGUCGUGGGGGAUAACGUAGCGAAAGCUACGCUAAUACCGCAUACGCCCUGAGGGGGAAAGCGGGGGAUUCUUCGGAACCUCGCGCGAUUGGAGCGGCCGAUGUCGGAUUAGCUAGUAGGUGAGGUAAAGGCUCACCUAGGCGACGAUCCGUAGCGGGUCUGAGAGGAUGAUCCGCCACACUGGGACUGAGACACGGCCCAGACUCCUACGGGAGGCAGCAGUGGGGAAUUUUGGGACAAUGGGCGCAAGCCUGAUCCAGCCAUGCCGCGUGAGUGAAGAAGGCCUCGGUGUAAGACGUC